RNAcentral lists this ribosomal RNA (505 nucleotides) under uncultured bacterium. Its description in RNAcentral is "partial 16S ribosomal RNA". It matches the Rfam family "Bacterial small subunit ribosomal RNA", at positions 30 to 523 of the family's 1533-position model. The record is from RNAcentral.
AUUGAACGCUGGCGGCAGGCUUAACACAUGCAAGUCGAGCGGUAACAGAGAGAAGCUUGCUUCUCUGCUGACGAGCGGCGGACGGGUGAGUAAUGCCUAGGAAUCUGCCUAGUAGUGGGGAUAACUUGCCGAAAGGUAAGCUAAUACCGCAUACGUCCUACGGGAGAAAGGGGGGGACCUUCGGGCCUUUCGCUAUUAGAUGAGCCUAGGUCGGAUUAGUUAGUUGGUGAGGUAAUGGCUCACCAAGACCGCGAUCCGUAACUGGUCUGAGAGGAUGAUCAGUCACACUGGAACUGAGACACGGUCCAGACGCCUACGGGAGGCAGCAGUGGGGAAUAUUGGACAAUGGGGGGAACCCUGAUUCAGCCAUGCCGCGUGUGUGAAGAAGGUCUUAGGAUUGUAAAGCACUUUAAGUUGGGAGGAAGAGCAGUUAACUAAUAUUUGACUGUUUUGACGUUACCGACAGAAUAAGCACCGGCUAACUUCGUGCCAGCAGCCGCAGUAA